UACACUCCUGCGGGAGGCAGCAGUGGGGAAUAUUGGACAAUGGGCGCAAGCCUGAUCCAGCCAUGCCGCGUGAGUGAUGAAGGCCCUAGGGUUGUAAAGCUCUUUCACCGGUGAAGAUAAUGACGGUAACCGGAGAAGAAGCCCCGGCUAACUUCGUGCCAGCAGCCGCGGUAAUACGAAGGGGGCUAGCGUUGUUCGGAUUUACUGGGCGUAAAGCGCACGUAGGCGGACUAUUAAGUCAGGGGUGAAAUCCCGGGGCUCAACCCCGGAACUGCCUUUGAUACUGGUAGUCUUGAGUUCGAGAGAGGUGAGUGGAAUUCCGAGUGUAGAGGUGAAAUUCGUAGAUAUUCGGAGGAACACCAGUGGCGAAGGCGGCUCACUGGCUCGAUACUGACGCUGAGGUGCGAAAGCGUGGGGCAAACAGGAUUAGAUACCCCUGUAGUCCCAU
RNAcentral lists this ribosomal RNA (448 nucleotides) under uncultured organism. Its description in RNAcentral is "partial 16S ribosomal RNA". It matches the Rfam family "Bacterial small subunit ribosomal RNA", at positions 332 to 798 of the family's 1533-position model. The record is from RNAcentral.